RNAcentral lists this ribosomal RNA (630 nucleotides) under Mesocriconema sphaerocephalum. RNAcentral describes it as "partial large subunit ribosomal RNA". The record is from RNAcentral. Lineage: Eukaryota; Metazoa; Nematoda; Chromadorea; Rhabditida; Criconematidae.
GUGAACCGGUAGGAUGGAAACGGAUAGAGCCGGCGAAGUCGCUCGUAUUCAGCCAAAGGCUCGGGGCUUCCCUGGCGUUGAGUUGCUAACCACUCUCAGCGUUGGUGUGUUGUCCUGGGGUUGAGGGGCUUUUACGGGCGUUGGCGCUGAAACUUGCAAGGCAGCUGCUGGACCCGGGUUCUAAAGGUUUCCCUCUGGGUUGAACCUGGUCSSGGUUGACGGUGGUUUGCCUUGCUCGUACGGGGUUUGGCUUACGGACCGGGGGGGGGGGGUCGGGGUUGCSGGGGGGAAUCGCAUGCAAUGCCUASCGAAAGGCUUGCCCUGUUGUUUCGGGUUCCCAGGCCCCCUCUCGGGGUAAAAGCCGGYCUUCUCUCCAACCCGUCUUGAAACACGGACCAAGGAGUUUAACGUAUGCGCAAGUCAUUGGGGGCUGAAACCUUAGGCGCAUUGAAGAAAAGACCAUUCGUUGGGUUGACUUGUGAKGGUGGGUGGUUCGGCCUUGCACGCACCAGGUCCAUGGUAUCGUUGCAUGCAGUGGAACAGACCGAUGCCUGAACCCGAGAUGGUGACUAUCUGACCAGACAAGCCAAGAACUUGGUGAAGUCGAGCGAUCUGACUGCAAUCAUCGCU